This 253-nucleotide ribosomal RNA is filed under the name uncultured microorganism. Its description in RNAcentral is "partial 16S ribosomal RNA". It matches the Rfam family "Bacterial small subunit ribosomal RNA", at positions 524 to 776 of the family's 1533-position model. The record is from RNAcentral.
UAUGUAGGGUGCGAGCGUUAAUCGGACUUACUGGGCGUAAAGCGUGCGCAGGCGGCCCGUUAAGACAGGUGUGAAAUCCCUGGGCUCAACCUAGGAAUUGCGCUUGUGACUGGCGGGCUCGAGUACGGUAGAGGGGGGUGGAAUUCCUGGUGUAGCAGUGAAAUGCGUAGAGAUCAGGAGGAACACCGAUGGCGAAGGCAGCCCCCUGGGCCUGUACUGACGCUCAUGCACGAAAGCGUGGGGAGCAAACAGG